CGUCUAUGGUGUGGGUAGCGGAAACGCCCCAGCGCUUUCUAAUUGUAGCGUAGGACACCUAUGGACG
Molecule: small RNA, 67 nt
Filed under: uncultured Alistipes sp.
Lineage: Bacteria; Pseudomonadati; Bacteroidota; Bacteroidia; Bacteroidales; Rikenellaceae
Source: RNAcentral